Molecule: ribosomal RNA, 467 nt
Filed under: uncultured bacterium
Lineage: Bacteria
Description: partial 16S ribosomal RNA
Rfam family: Bacterial small subunit ribosomal RNA
Source: RNAcentral
ACGAACGCUGGCGGCGUGCUUAACACAUGCAAGUCGAACGGAAAGGCCCUGCUUUUGUGGGGUGCUCGAGUGGCGAACGGGUGAGUAACACGUGAGUAACCUGCCCUUGACUUUGGGAUAACUUCAGGAAACUGGGGCUAAUACCGGAUAGGAGCUCCUGCUGCAUGGUGGGGGUUGGAAAGUUUCGGCGGUUGGGGAUGGACUCGCGGCUUAUCAGCUUGUUGGUGGGGUAGUGGCUUACCAAGGCAUUGACGGGUAGCCGGCCUGAGAGGGUGACCGGCCACAUUGGGACUGAGAUACGGCCCAGACUCCUACGGGAGGCAGAAGUGGGGAAUAUUGCACAAUGGGCGGAAGCCUGAUGCAGCAACGCCGCGUGCGGGAUGACGGCCUUCGGGUUGUAAACCGCUUUCGCCUGUGACGAAGCGUGAGUGACGGUAAUGGGUAAAGAAGCACCGGCUAACUACGUG